RNAcentral lists this ribosomal RNA (271 nucleotides) under uncultured Enterobacteriaceae bacterium. Its description in RNAcentral is "partial 16S ribosomal RNA". It matches the Rfam family "Bacterial small subunit ribosomal RNA", at positions 1110 to 1382 of the family's 1533-position model. Lineage: Bacteria; Pseudomonadati; Pseudomonadota; Gammaproteobacteria; Enterobacterales; Enterobacteriaceae. The record is from RNAcentral.
CCUUGUUGCCAGCGGUCCGGCCGGGAACUCAAAGGAGACUGCCAGUGAUAAACUGGAGGAAGUGGGGAUGACGUCAAGUCAUCAUGGCCCUUACGACCAGGGCUACACACGUGCUACAAUGGCGCAUACAAAGAGAAGCGACCUCGCGAGAGCAAGCGGACCUCAUAAAGUGCGUCGUAGUCCGGAUUGGAGUCUGCAACUCGACUCCAUGAAGUCGGAAUCGCUAGUAAUCGUGGAUCAGAAUGCCACGGUGAAUACGUUCCCGGGCCUU